UACGUAGGGUGCAAGCGUUGUCCGGAAUUAUUGGGCGUAAAGAGCUCGUAGGCGGUCUGUCACGUCUGCUGUGAAAACUCGGGGCUUAACCCCGGGCCUGCAGUGGGUACGGGCAGACUAGAGUGCGGUAGGGGAGACUGGAAUUCCUGGUGUAGCGGUGAAAUGCGCAGAUAUCAGGAGGAACACCGGUGGCGAAGGCGGGUCUCUGGGCCACUACUGACGCUGAGAAGCGAAAGCAUGGGGAGCGAACAGG
RNAcentral lists this ribosomal RNA (253 nucleotides) under uncultured bacterium. RNAcentral's name for it is "partial 16S ribosomal RNA". It matches the Rfam family "Bacterial small subunit ribosomal RNA", at positions 524 to 776 of the family's 1533-position model. The record is from RNAcentral.